RNAcentral lists this long non-coding RNA (1023 nucleotides) under Homo sapiens (human). RNAcentral's name for it is "non-protein coding lnc-OPRM1-9:1". Lineage: Eukaryota; Metazoa; Chordata; Mammalia; Primates; Hominidae. The record is from RNAcentral.
AUGUUAAAAAUUAUUAUCCCAACUAUUAUACUACUUCCAAUAACAUCUUGCUCUAAGAACUCUAUAAUCUGAAUUAAUACAGCCUCCCACAGUUGACUCAUCAGUCUCAUCAGCCUGCUAUUCUUCAACCAAUUUAAUGGUGAUUCAUCCAACUUCUUAUUAACUUUCUUUCCUGAUCCACUGUCAUCACCCCUUCUAAUUCUGGUUACUGAAUUCUAAUACUGGUUACUGCCCCUUAUAAUUUUAGCAAGCCAAUAUCAUCUAUCCAAAGAAUCACUCCUGCAAAAAAAGCUUUAUAUCUUAAUGUUAGUUUCUUUACAGAUAUCUUUAAUUAUAACAUUCACAGCCACAGAACUAAUCACAUCUUAUAUUCUCUUUGAAGCCACGCUAGUCCCCACCCUAAUUAUUAUUACUCGUUGAGGUAAUCAAACAGAACGCCUUAACGCAGACUUAUACUUCUUAUUUUAUACACUGGUAGGAUCCUUACCUUUGCUCGUAGCACUUAUCUAUAUUCAAAAUGCAUUCAGCUUACUAAACAUAUUAGUAACAACAUAUACUUCCCAAGAAUUGGCAACCUCCUGAUCCAGCAACCUUCUAUGACUAGCAUACAUCAUGGCAUUUUUGGUAAAAAUGCCUCUCUCUGGACUCCACCUGUGACUCCCUGAAGCCCACGUAGAAGCCCCCAUUGCCGGCUCAAUAGUACUUGCAGCAGUACUCCUAAAAUAAGGCGGCUACGGAAUGAUAUGGCUCACUCUAAUCUUUAAUCCCAUGACAGAAUACAUAGCCUACUCUUUCCUCAUACUAUCCCUAUGGGGAAUAAUCAUGACAGGCUCCAUUUGUCUACGCCAAACCGAUCUAAAGUCACUCAUUGCUUACUCCUCCAUAAGCCACAUGGCACUCGUUAUGGUAGCUAUUCUCAUUCAGGCAGCCUGAAGUUUUAUAGGCACAACGGCCUAUAUAAAAUGCUAGAUGUUGAGAAGUACACAAUUUUCAUGUAAGAGGGGACUAGAAAGAACAUAUUCU